Molecule: long non-coding RNA, 225 nt
Organism: Asparagus officinalis (garden asparagus)
Lineage: Eukaryota; Viridiplantae; Streptophyta; Magnoliopsida; Asparagales; Asparagaceae
Exons: 2
Source: RefSeq, a predicted model, not a curated record
CAAUAUAUAAAUAGAGCAGUAAACAAGAACUAGGGAGCUUAACAGGGCAAAAGUGCAAGGACAUACAUCAAAUAACAAUGAAUCCGUAGGUGAAACAUAGUCAAAAUAUAGGUAAUAUUCAUGUUUAUCAACUCCCCCAUGCUUGAACUAUUGCUUGUCCUCAAGCAAAACAGAUGGAAAUGUUAGCCCUUAUGUUUUGAUGAUGUUCUUACAACCACCAUUAUC